This 236-nucleotide ribosomal RNA is filed under the name uncultured bacterium. RNAcentral describes it as "partial 16S ribosomal RNA". It matches the Rfam family "Bacterial small subunit ribosomal RNA", at positions 15 to 244 of the family's 1533-position model. The record is from RNAcentral.
GAUCCUGGCUCAGGACGAACGCUGGCGGCGCGCCUAACACAUGCAAGUCGAACGAGAGAUGAGGAGCUUGCUCUUCAAAUCGAGUGGCGAACGGGGUGAGUAACGCGUGGGGGAACCUGCCUCAAAGAGGGGGACAACAGUUGGAAACGACUGCUAAUACCGCAUAAGCCCACGGCUCGGCAUCGAGCAGGGGGAAAAGGAGCAAUCCGCUUUGAGAUGGCCUCGCGUCCGAUUAG